RNAcentral lists this ribosomal RNA (1483 nucleotides) under uncultured bacterium. RNAcentral describes it as "16S ribosomal RNA". It matches the Rfam family "Bacterial small subunit ribosomal RNA". The record is from RNAcentral.
AGAGUUUGAUCCUGGCUCAGAGUGAACGCUGGCGGCGUGCUUAACACAUGCAAGUCGAACGAGAACGGCUCUGAGCUUGUGAGAGUGUCAGCUAAGUGGCGGACGGGUGAGUAAUGUAUAGCUCAACAUGCCCUAUAGAGGGGGAUAGCCACUGGAAACGGUGAUUAAUACCCCAUACUCCUUCUUUAUUAACUAAAGUUGGGAAAGUUUUUCGCUAUAGGAUUGGGCUAUAUGGUAUCAGUUUAGUGGUGGGGUAAGGCCUACCAAGGCGAUGACGCAUAGCGGGUCUGAGAGGAUGAUCCGCCACACUGGAACUGAGACACGGUCCAGUCUCCUACGGGAGGCAGCAGUGGGGAAUAUUGCACAAUGGAGGAAACUCUGAUGCAGCAACGCCGCGUGGAGGAUGACGCAUUGCGGUGUGUAAACUCCUUUUAUAUGGGAAGAUCAAUGCCGGUACCAUAUGAAUAAGCACCGGCUAAAUACCGUGCCAGCAGCCGCGGUAAUACGGAGGGUGCAAGCGUUACUCGGAAUCUACUGGGCGUAAAGCGCGCGCAGGCGGCUUAAUAAGUUAGAAGUGAAAUCCUACAGCUCAACUGUAGAACUGCUUCUAAAACAGCUUAACCUAAGUCUGGGAGAGGUAGCUGGAAUUAGUGGUGUAGGGGUAAAAUCCGCAGAGAUCACUAGGAAUACCGAAAGCGAAGGCAAGCUACUGGAACAGAACUGACGCUGAGGCGCGAAAGCGUGGGGAGCAAACAGGAUUAGAUACCCUGGUAGUCCACGCCCUAAACGAUGGAUGCUAGUCGUUGGUAGGUUAAUCCUAUCAGUGAUGCAGCUAACGCAUUAAGCAUCCCGCCUGGGGAGUACGGUCGCAAGAUUAAAACUCAAAGGAAUAGACGGGGACCCGCACAAGUGGUGGAGCAUGUGGUUUAAUUCGAAGAUACGCGAAGAACCUUACCUGGCCUUGACAUCGCCGGGAACCCUCCAGAGAUGGAGGGGUGCCCCCUUAUGGGGGAGCCCGGUGACAGGUGCUGCACGGCUGUCGUCAGCUCGUGUCGUGAGAUGUUGGGUUAAGUCCCGCAACGAGCGCAACCCUCGUGUUUAGUUGCUAACAGUUAGGCUGAGCACUCUAAACAGACUGCCUGGGUAACCAGGAGGAAGGUGAGGACGACGUCAAGUCAUCAUGGUCCUUACGGCCAGGGCGACACACGUGCUACAAUGGGUAGGACAAUGAGACGCGAUACCGCGAGGUGGAGCAAAUCUGUAAACCUACUCCCAGUUCGGAUUGCAGUCUGCAACUCGACUGCAUGAAGCUGGAAUCACUAGUAAUCGUGAAUCAGCCAUGUCACGGUGAAUACGUUCCCGGGUCUUGUACUCACCGCCCGUCACACCAUGGGAGUUGAUUUCACCCGAAGCGGGGAAGCUAAACUGGCUACCCUCCACGGUGGGAUCAGCGACUGGGGUGAAGUCGUAACAAGGUAACCGU